Molecule: ribosomal RNA, 286 nt
Filed under: Lysinibacillus fusiformis
Lineage: Bacteria; Bacillati; Bacillota; Bacilli; Caryophanales; Bacillaceae
Description: partial 16S ribosomal RNA
Rfam family: Bacterial small subunit ribosomal RNA
Source: RNAcentral
UCGAAGCAACGCGAAGAACCUUACCAGGUCUUGACAUCCCGUUGACCACUGUAGAGAUAUGGUUUCCCCUUCGGGGGUAACGGUGACAGGUGGUGCAUGGUUGUCGUCAGCUCGUGUCGUGAGAUGUUGGGUUAAGUCCCGCAACGAGCGCAACCCUUGAUCUUAGUUGCCAUCAUUUAGUUGGGCACUCUAAGGUGACUGCCGGUGACAAACCGGAGGAAGGUGGGGAUGACGUCAAAUCAUCAUGCCCCUUAUGACCUGGGCUACACACGUGCUACAAUGGACG